UGAGGUUCAAUUCUCCUCCUGCUAGC
RNAcentral lists this non-coding RNA (26 nucleotides) under Rattus norvegicus (Norway rat). Lineage: Eukaryota; Metazoa; Chordata; Mammalia; Rodentia; Muridae. The record is from RNAcentral.